Molecule: long non-coding RNA, 705 nt
Filed under: Rattus norvegicus (Norway rat)
Lineage: Eukaryota; Metazoa; Chordata; Mammalia; Rodentia; Muridae
Description: long non-coding RNA NONRATT020976
Source: RNAcentral
UGUUUAUCCUCUGUCCCCUCCCCUGCUCUUACUACAAUGUAAGCUGCAACUUAAUUUCCAACUGAGUUUUACACCCCCACUACCUAGGAUAAUGCCCCGUUUAUUGGAGAUGCCAAUACAUGUGUGUGUGUGUGUGGGGGGGGAGACAGCAAACAAGUUAUGUGGUCAUGCGAGCCUGUAACCCAGAGGCUGAGGCGAAGAUUGCAGCACAUUUAAAACCACCUUGGAUUACACAUGAAACGCUUAAAAGCAACAACAACAGCCAUCCCAACCAAAGAAAACUAAAACAACUCCCCACACAAAGAAGUAAGAAGAGUGAGAAUAACCGGAGUUGGUCGGUCGGGAGGUACACCUCCCAUAAUCCUAGUACCCAAAGGGGAAGAAAGGCAGGCAUAGAGGCUGAGGCUGGAAAGGAGGCCUGCUAAGGCAGUCGAAGCUACAGGGUGAGUUUCAGGAACAGAGGGGUGUGGGGGUGGAGGGGAUGGUACACUAGGACGAGGAAAGCAAGCAAGCAAGAAGAAAAAAAUAAAAACAACAACAAAACCCCCAGCACAUUAACAGAAGGAGCACAGUAAAUAUUUGUUAUGUUGAAUUAAAAGUGUCAGAAACAGGGCACACCUUUCCCAGCUCUAAGAAUAAGGCAGUUGAAGAGAUUGGUGAUGUGGGUGAAAGUUGUCUGUUGUAUGAGUUUGUGGUGGUGGAAGG